Long non-coding RNA from Gymnodraco acuticeps, 858 nucleotides. RefSeq lists it as uncharacterized. The transcript has 7 exons. The record is from RefSeq and is a predicted model, not a curated record. NCBI's taxonomy places the organism in Eukaryota, Metazoa, Chordata, Actinopteri, Perciformes, Bathydraconidae.
CGCAAUGGCAACAGCUCACAACAACUUCGCGAGCUCACGAGAUGCACAGGGAAGAGUGACUGGAGGGAAUACACAGCGAUAACUAGAGUUUCCUGUGAUUUAAAAGGACUGCGAGGACAUUCACCUGACAUCAACGAAGACGGUGGCUUCUUGAGUUUCUGAAGAAGCCACUAUACCAUACGCGUAGCUGGAAAAAAAGCUGAAAAAUUAUCUGGAAAAUCUGUCACAGCAGCCAGUGAAUGUAGCGUAUUGACUGCGAGGACACUCAUCUGACAUCAACGAAGACGGUGGCUUCUUGAGAUCCUGAAGAACUUACGGACUGCGAGGACAUUCAUCUGACAUCAAAAGACGGUGGAUUCUUGAGUUUCUGAAGGACUUACGCCAAAGUGACGCGACAGCUCCAGCUGAAAGUGUCGGAGAUUGCAACGAUGCAACAGCAAGAGGCAAACAAUUAGCAUUAUGAAAAGGUCCAAGCCUUCUGGGUCAACGGGAAGGAAACUGAAAAAAGAACAGGAGGAAUCGAAAGUCAAAGACAGAGCGGCACUUGAGAAAUACCUCAAAAAGCCCCCAGUUGCUGGAGAAGGAACAUCUGAUCUCCCAUGUACAUCACACUCUGAAGAAUGUGAAGGAAUAACGAGCACAGUAUGUGAGUCCACCAUUGCAGCCCCCUCAGAUCCUGCUGACUGCCCAGGCCCAUCUGAGUCCAACAUUGCAGUCCCCUCAGAUCCUGCUGACUGGCCAGCACUGAGUGAUACAGUGGGAAAAGCCAUGUGAACAUCACAUUGAAAUCAUGGUCUGAUACCAGAUGGGAGAGUCGGAUCAACAGCAUAGAGGCUGUAAGUAGGGAUGCACGAUAUG